RNAcentral lists this long non-coding RNA (330 nucleotides) under Homo sapiens (human). RNAcentral describes it as "HSALNT0340759". Lineage: Eukaryota; Metazoa; Chordata; Mammalia; Primates; Hominidae. The record is from RNAcentral.
ACUGCACUCCAGCCUGGGCGACAGAGUGAGACUCCAUCUCAAAAAAAAAAAAAAAAAGAAAUACCAGGUGAAGCAUAUGCCCUGCAAGCUUAGGGGUGCUACAGUUGACCACUGCAGCAGUAAAGAUGACUGAAGAAUGGCAUGGGAUGGAUCCUUUCGAAUGCACUUGAGCAGCAGUCUCCAAACACAGGGCCACAGAGCCAGAGAAUGUAUUUGUCACUUCCAGCUGAAUCUACCAUGAAAGACUUCUGAAUCCAGGAAAAGAGACUGACUGGGUAACAUGUUAUUCAGGGUCUCCCUCUGUUGUCCAAGGCUGGAGUGUAGUAGUGC